CUCAAGAUAUCGCUGGUUGUCCUGAAUCCUUAGAAGGUAUACAGAGAUCUACUUAUAUCUAAGUAGCAGUUCCUGUGUAGUCCUGGAGAGGAGAGCGUUUUCUUCAGAAAAUCACCUUGACAUUGAAACCUCUGUGGAGUUUUUCACCUUGUUAACCUGAAGCAUUAUAUUGAGACAUCUCAGAAGCUUUCAUAUGACUGGCUCCAACAGGUCAACAUUCAGACAUACAAGAUGGAGAUCACCAUGUGAAACCUGGCCCUUGGAGUGCAGGUGAUCUUUGGGCUGACUUGCCUUCCCAUUCUGAGACCAAGGCCUAAGGAGCAGUCCUCAUUUGGGACCAGCUAUUUUUAGAGAAGAAAACAGAAAUAAAAGAAAAUGAGACCACUUACAAAAUUGCAUUUAAAUCUUCUGUUAGAAUAGAAUGCAUGGUACAUCUAUUCACUUUCCACUGGCAAAACAAGCUAGGGAGCAAACCCCAGAAA
Long non-coding RNA from Heterocephalus glaber (naked mole-rat), 482 nucleotides. RefSeq lists it as uncharacterized. The record is from RefSeq and is a predicted model, not a curated record. NCBI's taxonomy places the organism in Eukaryota, Metazoa, Chordata, Mammalia, Rodentia, Bathyergidae.